RNAcentral lists this ribosomal RNA (1276 nucleotides) under Sthenias yunnanus. RNAcentral describes it as "16S ribosomal RNA". The stretch from base 1036 to 1194 matches the Rfam family "Archaeal large subunit ribosomal RNA", at positions 2542 to 2701 of the family's 2987-position model. The record is from RNAcentral. Lineage: Eukaryota; Metazoa; Arthropoda; Insecta; Coleoptera; Cerambycidae.
UUAAUUUAAAUUAUUAAUUGUGGGGAUUUUACUAAUUAAAAAAAAAAAAUUAUUUUUUAGUAUUUCUGUAGAAAAGAUUAUAUUUAUGAUAGAAAAUUUGUAUUGUGAAAGAUUUUUUUAUAUAAAAUUUUAAAGAAGAAUUAAUAGUUUGUACCUUGUGUAUCAGGGUUGAUUAAAUUUAUUUAAUUAUUUUUUUGUCUCGAAUUUAAAAGAGUUAAUUUAUUAUUAUUUUAUUGUGAAAUAAAUAUUUUUAAUAGUAAGUUAGUAAUGAAACGUUAUUCGUUUUUAAAUUUAUCUAGUUAUUUAAGAAAAUAAUUUAAUUAUACUUUUAUUAAUUUUAUUUUUUUUUAUUAAAAUAAUGUUAGUAAAAUUUUAUAAGGAAGGGGAUGAGCUUUUUCUUAGAAAAUUUAAAAAUUAAUAAUAAAUUAAGAUUUAUAGGAUUUAAAUUGUCUAUUUUUAAAAAAUUGUUAUAAAUUUUCUUAAUAAGAUAAUAAUUUAUAUUAAUUUUAAAUUAUUUAUUAAAUUGUUAAUAAUAAUUGAAUUUAUUAAUUAAUAAUGAUUAAAUUAGUAAUUUAGAUUGUAAGGUAUAAUUUUAUUUUAAGGUUAUGAAAAGGAAUUUGGCAAAUAAUUUUUCACCUGUUUAUUAAAAACAUGGCCUUUUGAAUAUAAUUUAAGGUCUGGCCUGCCCACUGAGGAGUUAAAGGGCCGCGGUAAUUUGACCGUGCUAAGGUAGCAUAAUCAUUAGUUUUUUAAUUGAAAGCUGGAAUGAAUGGUUGUAUGAAAAAAAUACUGUCUCUUUAUAAUUUUAAGUAAAUUUUAUUUUUAAGUAAAAAAGCUUAAAUUAAUUUAAAAGACGAGAAGACCCUAUAGAGUUUUAUUUUUUAUAUUUUUAUGGGUUUGGGAAUUAUAUUUUGAAUUUUAAUAAAUUAUUUAGUUGGGGUGAUUGAAAAAUUUUUAAAACUUUUUAUUUAUUAAUACAUUAAUUAAUGAAUAGUUGAUCCUUUUUUUAUGAUUAUAAGAAAAAAUUACCUUAGGGAUAACAGCGUAAUUUUUUUUGAGAGUUCUAAUCAAUAAAAAAGAUUGCGACCUCGAUGUUGGAUUAAAAUUUAUUUUUGGUGUAGAAGCUAAGAUAUUUGGUCUGUUCGACCAUUGAAAUUUUACAUGAUCUGAGUUUAAACCGGUGUGAGCCAGGUUGGUUUCUAUCUUUAAUAUAUUUAAAUAUUUUAGUACGAAAGGACCAAAUAUUUGAUAUAAUAUUAUUAUUUUGACUAUUAUU